AUACGGAGGGUGCAAGCGUUAAUCGGAAUUACUGGGCGUAAAGCGUACGUAGGCGGUUAUUUAAGUCAGAUGUGAUAGCCCCGGGCUUAACCUGGGAACUGCAUUUAAAACUGGCGAACUAGAGUUGAGUAGAGGGGAGUGGAAUUUCAGGUGUAGCGGUGAAAUGCGUAGAGAUCUGAAGGAACACCAGUGGCGAAGGCGACUCCCUGGACUCGAACUGACGCUGAGGUACGAAAGCGUGGGUAGCAAACGGGAUUAGAAACCCUAGUAGUCC
This 274-nucleotide ribosomal RNA is filed under the name uncultured bacterium. RNAcentral's name for it is "partial 16S ribosomal RNA". It matches the Rfam family "Bacterial small subunit ribosomal RNA", at positions 523 to 796 of the family's 1533-position model. The record is from RNAcentral.